GUUUUCUGUCGGUGAGGUGGCAGUGUGAUAGCUAGCUGAACCCAUGGCCAACACUUGGCUAAUGGUUAGCGGAGAUAGCAAGCUUACAGGGGCUAAUGGGGUUCCAUAAUAAAUAAAAAUACAGACGCGAGGGGCAAACGACCUGACCCAGCAGCAACUACUCCUCGAUUUAAGCCAAAGAAACAGAGACAUUUGGAGAGCAGACAGGCAAAAAGGGAAAGCGAUAGAGCCCGGGCCAAUACGUGUAAACCUCGGAUUUGUGUUCACACAGUGGAAAAAACUAAGGGAGUUGAAGGGAUUCAAAACCGACACAAAUGUUUUUUCUGCUGAAAAGGACAAAGACAGUCUUCUACAACAUAAUUGCCGACCACGAAGGGACUGUAAAAAGAGACCAUAGGGGUGCUGUGCCAUCUGGAGGAGGCUAAGCGAAUCACACACAAAAAACAGUGGCCACUGUAAAAUAGCAGUGUCUCUCAGCUUCCCUAUUGGUACGCUGCCAGAAGGACCAUCUCCACAGACCGAUGUUUAAUAAAUUGAGAGAGAUUCUGCCUGAGCCCGAGACCCUAGGGAUGGUAGAAGGAGUUCUGAGCGAAAGGGACCAACGUCGGCCCGGAGUAGAGUCCCAGAAGUAGAAGGUCAUCAUCGAAAGAGAGCUCUACUGUGCCAGAUAAUACCAGGGCUGUUUCUUCUCUCUUCAUCUGACCUGACCUCGGGUAG
Long non-coding RNA from Coregonus clupeaformis (lake whitefish), 717 nucleotides. RefSeq lists it as uncharacterized. The transcript has 4 exons. The record is from RefSeq and is a predicted model, not a curated record. NCBI's taxonomy places the organism in Eukaryota, Metazoa, Chordata, Actinopteri, Salmoniformes, Salmonidae.